AAUAUUGGACAAUGGGCGAAAGCCUGAUCCAGCCAUGCCGCGUGAGUGAUGAAGGCCCUAGGGUUGUAAAGCUCUUUUGUGCGGGAAGAUAAUGACGGUACCGCAAGAAUAAGCCCCGGCUAACUUCGUGCCAGCAGCCGCGGUAAUACGAAGGGGGCUAGCGUUGCUCGGAAUCACUGGGCGUAAAGGGUGCGUAGGCGGAUUUUUAAGUCAGGGGUGAAAUCCUGGAGCUCAACUCCAGAACUGCCUUUGAUACUGGGAAUCUUGAGUUCGGGUGAGGUGAGUGGAACUGCGAGUGUAGAGGUGAAAUUCGUAGAUAUUCGCAAGAACACCAGUGGCGAAGGCGGCUCACUGACCCGAUACUGACGCUGAGGCACGAAAGCGUGGGGAGCAAACAGG
Molecule: ribosomal RNA, 399 nt
Filed under: uncultured bacterium
Lineage: Bacteria
Description: partial 16S ribosomal RNA
Rfam family: Bacterial small subunit ribosomal RNA
Source: RNAcentral